This 433-nucleotide ribosomal RNA is filed under the name uncultured bacterium. RNAcentral's name for it is "partial 16S ribosomal RNA". It matches the Rfam family "Bacterial small subunit ribosomal RNA", at positions 29 to 507 of the family's 1533-position model. The record is from RNAcentral.
AACGAACGCUGGCAGCAUGCCUAACACAUGCAAGUCGAACGAGACCUUCGGGUCUAGUGGCGCACGGGUGCGUAACGCGUGGGAACCUGCCCUUAGGUUCGGAAUAACUCCCCGAAAGGGGUGCUCAUACCGGAUAAUGUCUUCGGACCAAAGAUUUAUCGCCUUUGGAUGGGCCCGCGUUGGAUUAGCUAGUUGGUAGGGUAAAAGCCUACCAAGGCGACGAUCCAUAGCUGGUCUGAGAGGAUGAUCAGCCACACUGGGACUGAGACACGGCCCAGACUCCUACGGGAGGCAGCAGUGUGGAAUAUUGUACAAUGGGCGAAAGCCUGAUCCAGCAAUGCCGCGUGAGUGAUGAAGGCCUUAGGGUUGUAAAGCUCUUUUACCCGGGAUGAUAAUGACAGUACCGGGAGAAUAAGCUCCGGCUAACUCCGUG